GCCUCCCGUCGUGCGACUGGAAGGGCCCGACCGCGUCCGUCGCGGGGAGGAGGUGACCUUCGACGCCUCGCGGAGUUCCGAUCCCCAGGGGCGGCCCC
RNAcentral lists this transfer RNA (98 nucleotides) under Aquisphaera giovannonii. RNAcentral describes it as "tRNA-Arg". Lineage: Bacteria; Pseudomonadati; Planctomycetota; Planctomycetia; Isosphaerales; Isosphaeraceae. The record is from RNAcentral.